Silurus meridionalis is the source of this 782-nucleotide long non-coding RNA. RefSeq lists it as uncharacterized. The record is from RefSeq and is a predicted model, not a curated record. Lineage: Eukaryota; Metazoa; Chordata; Actinopteri; Siluriformes; Siluridae. The transcript is spliced from 2 exons.
AAUGCGGGCCAACAUCCAAAUGUACACCAUCUUCCCCGUUCAGUAGGUGGGACAGGUGAGGGCUCCCAGCAGCAAAUGCAUGGCAUGGUGCCAGGCAUUUUUAGGCCAUGGGAUUAGGUAAUCCUGACCCUAGUAGUAGGACCGUCGGGGCGACGAUCCGUCAGUGGGGGGUAGAUUGUAGUGGGACGAACUGUGGGUGUCCCUUUAAAUUGUCAUGAAAGCAUCAGUUGUCCAAUCAGAUACAUGCAAGACUAUAUAAAAGGGGACUUUUAAUGCACCAUGUUGUGUGAUCACCGCUUGUGUGUCAUUGCCCGAGGCCCGCCCCUUCCUGGUUUAGACUCUUCCUGUCUCACAGUUUCCAACGUGUAAUCAUUCCAUGUGGCUCGGCGACUGCUUUUAAACAUGAACCCGCCGUAAUCCCGUGCCUUCUUGCCGGUUUGAUGUCCAUUUGCCUGUGCGGCUGGACUUGUGGUCGAAACGACAAUAUUAAGGAACCGAGGCUUCAGGCAGACGGCUAGUUGGCCUUGGCGUGCGGUGGUGGGACUCUAUCACAGGGUGCAGUGUGUUCACGCUUGAUCUUACCGUGUGUGUGUGGUGCUCUUGUGCAUUUGGUGUUAUCCUGGCGAUAUAGUAGCCGCAUACUCAUUAAGCUAGUUUCCUGCUUUAGGUAAGCCUCGGUGUCCUUUUUGUUUUUAUGCCUAUUUUAUUCCAGCCCAUAGUCAUGUUUUAACAGUAAUACCCAUAUUUAUUGUGAAAUAAAACAUUUUUUUGUAUCUUUGGUA